AGGGAAUAGCUUCCAGACUGCGGGCAGGAGGACAGAAGAGCUGAAGUACGUGAGAUCUAAACCUGGAAGAUGACUGAGGCUCACACCUCAUUUGCUUCUCUGACCACUGCUGCUCACUGAACAGCUGUCUCCAGUGAUCUGUCCAUGAUGAUACAGCCAGUGCUACUUUAAUUUUGCUUGCAAAUAGGCAGCAACAGAUGGCACAAAGCAGAAAAUCUUGCCUAUUUGAGUUGUCCAAACCAACAGUUUCUUCUGAUAUGGAUCACAGCCUCAGUUCAAAAAAUGUUUUGGUUAUUUGUACAUUCACUGAAAAACAUCUUCUGAUGUUGGUCUCAAAAGCUUAAACUGUAACUGGUUCCUGAAGCCUCAAUUUUCAUGCUGAUGUCUAGAAUGUGAUGAAUUCUGUCAAUGAACAAAUUUGUAGCACACAAAUUUGAUAGAAGUAGGAUCAAGCUGAAGUAGAAUUCUCCAAAUUCUUCUUCUGACCCAAAAAAUCUGCUGCUUAAAUUAAAGUUUUUCACAUUGUGACACACACACACACACACACACACACACAAAACCAUCAAUAAAACAACAACAUUUUUUUUCUUCAGACUUAUGCUUCUUCCAAGGCAUGAGGUAUUAUGGAGCAACAGCUGCUAUGCAGUACCCUGAGUCUUCAGGUUGAAGCAUCAUCCUCAUUCUCUGUCCUGCUCUUCCUUCCUUCACUCCCUUGUGGAGGUGCUUUCCUUGGAAGCAUUGCUUGCUGCUUGCUUACAAUGUACUAUUUAUACUCUGCAAAGGAACACCAGCUCCUGUGACUUGACAGAUGACUAUCACAGACAUUCAGGAACGUGAGAAAGUGAUACAGGCUAUAAUGAGAUGAUGUAAAAUUCUAUUCAGCAUAUCAAACAGAACCAAUUUAAAAUUCAUAUAUGUUUAACUGGCAACCCAAUGCAGCUCUUUCAAGGGAGGUGAUAUGUGCUCCUGUCUUUAGCUUUUCUUCUGAGAACUGUCAGUCACAUUCUGCAUCAGCCUGGGUUUAUGCUUAGCUUUAUCAGGCAGACCAGUCAGCACUGAAUGGCAUUAAUGUCAUCUUGGGGUAAUGGAAGUGUAGAUAACCGUCCCAGAGACUGUUUGGGAAAAAGCUACUGCUGCAAGUAGCUGCAGGCUCUAUUGACCGCAUAAUUCACAUUUUUCUCAUAGAGGAGGGUAUGAUCUAUAAAUUGUUUUAGGCUUUCUUGCUGAUGAAAUAGCAAGAAUUUUGUUGCUGAUGGGCACAGGAAGCAGUAAUAAAUAGCCACAUGUGCAUACACAGGAAAGAAAAACGGUUUGCAUUUUUUCAGCAAAGCAAAGGAUUCAAAAUGUAGCCCAGCUUGUUUUGCAAGUUACAGCAAGGAGCAUGGAGAAAAAUGUAUUCUGUAUAACAAUGAUAACAUGAAUGAUAGCAUAGAUCAUUUACCCAUUGUGUAUUAGCUAUCUGCUGGAUACUGCAUCUACAGAAGCCAUUUCCUGAUGACAGAUUGCAGCAGCAUGAAAUAAUUUCUGAUGAAACAAAACUGAUAAACCUGCCUGAAAGCUUGUGGUACUUGUACACCUUUUUGAACUUGAGUUGUUAAAGGAUUACACUAUUUUUAGUGGUAGAUCUUUUGUUCACUGCUACAUAUGUUAUUUUUUGGGUGGGGCAUAUUAGCAGUGUCCUGGCAUACUAGCCAGAUGACUUGGGCUGGAGAUGUGCUUCACAAUAAAAUUGUUUCAAGCCUUUGGGUGAAAAGAAAAUAAAGA
Cygnus olor (mute swan) is the source of this 1764-nucleotide long non-coding RNA. RefSeq lists it as uncharacterized. The record is from RefSeq and is a predicted model, not a curated record. The transcript has 3 exons. Lineage: Eukaryota; Metazoa; Chordata; Aves; Anseriformes; Anatidae.